Molecule: ribosomal RNA, 253 nt
Filed under: uncultured bacterium
Lineage: Bacteria
Description: partial 16S ribosomal RNA
Rfam family: Bacterial small subunit ribosomal RNA
Source: RNAcentral
UACGAAGGGUGCAAGCGUUAAUCGGAAUUACUGGGCGUAAAGCGUGCGCAGGCGGUUUUGUAAGUCUGACGUGAAAGCCCCGGGCUCAACCUGGGAAUUGCGUUGGAGACUGCAAGGCUUGAAUCUGGCAGAGGGGGGUAGAAUUCCACGUGUAGCAGUGAAAUGCGUAGAGAUGUGGAGGAACACCGAUGGCGAAGGCAGCCCCCUGGGUCAAGAUUGACGCUCAUGCACGAAAGCGUGGGGAGCAAACAGG